AACAAAUGGUCGCACUAAUUUUAUUUAUAUCCUAUGAAAGUAUUGCUGAAAAGAAAAAUACAUAACUUUUGACACAAAUCAUCCUAUAAAGCUAACCAUUUAUUCUAAUAAACAGACUUGUAAUUAGUGUUGAGACAAGUAAAGAAAUUUAGCAUAUUUGAAACGCAUAAAACAAAAGACAGAAACAUAUAUUCCACCCA
Molecule: long non-coding RNA, 200 nt
Filed under: Vigna radiata
Lineage: Eukaryota; Viridiplantae; Streptophyta; Magnoliopsida; Fabales; Fabaceae
Description: long non-coding RNA (VRAD_LNC016821)
Source: RNAcentral